RNAcentral lists this ribosomal RNA (76 nucleotides) under Muribaculaceae bacterium. Its description in RNAcentral is "partial 16S ribosomal RNA". It matches the Rfam family "Bacterial small subunit ribosomal RNA", at positions 1 to 76 of the family's 1533-position model. Lineage: Bacteria; Pseudomonadati; Bacteroidota; Bacteroidia; Bacteroidales; Muribaculaceae. The record is from RNAcentral.
ACAGCGGAGAGUUUGAUCCUGGCUCAGGAUGAACGCUAGCGGCAGGCUUAACACAUGCAAGUCGAGGGGCAGCGGG